This 130-nucleotide small nucleolar RNA is filed under the name Castor canadensis (American beaver). RNAcentral's name for it is "Small nucleolar RNA SNORA51 (ENSCCNG00000018608.1)". It matches the Rfam family "Small nucleolar RNA SNORA51". Rfam says of the family: ACA51 is a member of the H/ACA class of snoRNA that guide the sites of modification of uridines to pseudouridines. The record is from Rfam by way of RNAcentral. Lineage: Eukaryota; Metazoa; Chordata; Mammalia; Rodentia; Castoridae.
GGCCUCCCGGUGCUUACCACAGGCUGUGUUCUUACACUGACUAUAGGAAGAGUAGGCAAAGAAAACCUACCCCAUAGACACCUCAGUCCAGGCCCUGUGCCUGGUAUGUAUUGUGAAUGGGGUGAGAAAA